RNAcentral lists this ribosomal RNA (483 nucleotides) under uncultured bacterium. Its description in RNAcentral is "partial 16S ribosomal RNA". It matches the Rfam family "Bacterial small subunit ribosomal RNA", at positions 28 to 507 of the family's 1533-position model. The record is from RNAcentral.
GACGAACGCUGGCGGCGUGCUUAACACAUGCAAGUCGAACGCUGAAGCUCAGCUUUUGUUGGGUGGAUGAGUGGCGAACGGGUGAGUAACACGUGAGUAACCUGCCCCCUUCUUUGGGAUAACGCCCGGAAACGGGUGCUAAUACUGGAUAUUCACUGGUCUUCGCAUGGGGGUUGGUGGAAAGGGUUUUUCUGGUGGGGGAUGGGCUCGCGGCCUAUCAGCUUGUUGGUGGGGUGAUGGCCUACCAAGGCUUUGACGGGUAGCCGGCCUCAGGUGGUGACCGGUCACAUUGGGACUGAGAUACGGCCCAGACUCCUACGGGAGGCAGCAGUGGGGAAUAUUGCACAAUGGGCGCAAGCCUGAUGCAGCGACGCCGCGUGAGGGAUGGAGGCCUUCGGGUUGUGAACCUCUUUCGCUCAUGGUCAAGCCGCAACAAUGGUUGUGGUGAGGGUAGUGGGUAAAGAAGCGCCGGCUAACUACGUG